RNAcentral lists this ribosomal RNA (406 nucleotides) under uncultured bacterium. RNAcentral describes it as "partial 16S ribosomal RNA". It matches the Rfam family "Bacterial small subunit ribosomal RNA", at positions 29 to 526 of the family's 1533-position model. The record is from RNAcentral.
AUUGAACGCUGGCGGCAGGCCUAACACAUGCAAGUCGAACGGGUGGCGGACGGGCGAGUAAUGUCUGGGAAACUGCCUGAUGGAGGGGGAUAACGACUGGAAACGGUAGCUACUACCGCAUACGAUCAGAUGUGCCCAGAUGGGAUUAGCUAGUCGGUGGGGUAACGGCUCACAGAGGCGACGAUCCCUAGCUGGGCUGAGAGGAUGACCAGCCACACUGGAACUGGGACACGGUCCAGACUCCUACGGGAGGCAGCAGUGGGGAAUAUUGGACAAUGGGCGCAAGCCUGAUCCAGCCAGGCCGCGUGUAGGAAGAAGGCCUUCGGGUUGUAAAGUACUUUUAGCGGGGAGGCGUUACCCGCAGAAGAAGCAACGGCUAACUCCGUGCCAGCAGCCGCGGUAAUAC